GGGUGAUUAGCUCAACGGCAGAGCAUCGGACUCUUAAUCCGCUGGUUUAGGGUUCAAAUCCCUAAUCACCCA
This 72-nucleotide transfer RNA is filed under the name Sphaerospermopsis torques-reginae ITEP-024. RNAcentral's name for it is "tRNA-Lys". It matches the Rfam family "tRNA". From Rfam's summary of the family: Transfer RNA (tRNA) molecules are approximately 80 nucleotides in length. The record is from RNAcentral. Lineage: Bacteria; Bacillati; Cyanobacteriota; Cyanophyceae; Nostocales; Aphanizomenonaceae.